Small nuclear RNA from Cavia aperea (Brazilian guinea pig), 104 nucleotides. Lineage: Eukaryota; Metazoa; Chordata; Mammalia; Rodentia; Caviidae. The record is from Ensembl.
GUGCUUGCGUUGGCAGCACGUACUAAAACUGGAACAAUACAGAGAAGUUAGCAUGGCCUCUGCGCAAGAAUAACACACAAAUUCGUAAAGACAGGAUUGUGGUC